This 1361-nucleotide ribosomal RNA is filed under the name uncultured bacterium. Its description in RNAcentral is "bacterial SSU rRNA". It matches the Rfam family "Bacterial small subunit ribosomal RNA", at positions 28 to 1381 of the family's 1533-position model. The record is from RNAcentral.
AUUGAACGUUGGCGGCAGGCCUAACACAUGCAAGUCGAGCGGUAGCACAGAGAGCUUGCUCUCGGGUGACGAGCGGCGGACGGGUGAGUAAUGUCUGGGAAACUGCCUGAUGGAGGGGGAUAACUACUGGAAACGGUAGCUAAUACCGCAUAACGUCGCAAGACCAAAGUGGGGGACCUUCGGGCCUCAUGCCAUCAGAUGUGCCCAGAUGGGAUUAGCUGGUAGGUGGGGUAACGGCUCACCUAGGCGACGAUCCCUAGCUGGUCUGAGAGGAUGACCAGCCACACUGGAACUGAGACACGGUCCAGACUCCUACGGGAGGCAGCAGUGGGGAAUAUUGCACAAUGGGCGCAAGCCUGAUGCAGCCAUGCCGCGUGUGUGAAGAAGGCCUUCGGGUUGUAAAGCACUUUCAGCGGGGAGGAAGGCGAUAAGGUUAAUAACCUUGUCGAUUGACGUUACCCGCAGAAGAAGCACCGGCUAACUCCGUGCCAGCAGCCGCGGUAAUACGGAGGGUGCAAGCGUUAAUCGGAAUUACUGGGCGUAAAGCGCACGCAGGCGGUCUGUCAAGUCGGAUGUGAAAUCCCCGGGCUCAACCUGGGAACUGCAUUCGAAACUGGCAGGCUAGAGUCUUGUAGAGGGGGGUAGAAUUCCAGGUGUAGCGGUGAAAUGCGUAGAGAUCUGGAGGAAUACCGGUGGCGAAGGCGGCCCCCUGGACAAAGACUGACGCUCAGGUGCGAAAGCGUGGGGAGCAAACAGGAUUAGAUACCCUGGUAGUCCACGCUGUAAACGAUGUCGAUUUGGAGGUUGUGCCCUUGAGGCGUGGCUUCCGGAGCUAACGCGUUAAAUCGACCGCCUGGGGAGUACGGCCGCAAGGUUAAAACUCAAAUGAAUUGACGGGGGCCCGCACAAGCGGUGGAGCAUGUGGUUUAAUUCGAUGCAACGCGAAGAACCUUACCUGGUCUUGACAUCCACAGAACUUUCCAGAGAUGGAUUGGUGCCUUCGGGAACUGUGAGACAGGUGCUGCAUGGCUGUCGUCAGCUCGUGUUGUGAAAUGUUGGGUUAAGUCCCGCAACGAGCGCAACCCUUAUCCUUUGUUGCCAGCGGUUAGGCCGGGAACUCAAAGGAGACUGCCAGUGAUAAACUGGAGGAAGGUGGGGAUGACGUCAAGUCAUCAUGGCCCUUACGACCAGGGCUACACACGUGCUACAAUGGCAUAUACAAAGAGAAGCGACCUCGCGAGAGCAAGCGGACCUCAUAAAGUAUGUCGUAGUCCGGAUUGGAGUCUGCAACUCGACUCCAUGAAGUCGGAAUCGCUAGUAAUCGUAGAUCAGAAUGCUACGGUGAAUACGUUCCCGGGCCU